RNAcentral lists this ribosomal RNA (545 nucleotides) under uncultured bacterium. RNAcentral's name for it is "bacterial SSU rRNA". It matches the Rfam family "Bacterial small subunit ribosomal RNA", at positions 45 to 636 of the family's 1533-position model. The record is from RNAcentral.
GGCCUAACACAUGCAAGUCGAGCGCCGUAGCAAUACGGAGCGGCAGACGGGAGAGUAACACGUGGGAACGUGCCCUUCAGUUCGGAACAACCCAGGGAAACUUGGGCUAAUACCGGAUACGUCCGUAAGGAGAAAGAUUUAUCGCUGAAGGAUCGGCCCGCGUCUGAUUAGCUAGUUGGUGGGGUAACGGCCCACCAAGGCGACGAUCAGUAGCUGGUCUGAGAGGAUGAUCAGCCUCACUGGGACUGAGACACGGCCCAGACUCCUACGGGAGGCAGCAGUGGGGAAUAUUGGACAAUGGGCGCAAGCCUGAUCCAGCCAUGCCGCGUGGGUGAUGAAGGCCUUAGGGUUGUAAAGCCCUUUCGGCGGGGAAGAUAAUGACGGUACCCGCAGAAGAAGCCCCGGCUAACUUCGUGCCAGCAGCCGCGGUAAUACGAAGGGGGCUAGCGUUGCUCGGAAUCACUGGGCGUAAAGCGCACGUAGGCGGCUUUUUAAGUCAGAGGUGAAAUCCUGGGGCUCAACUCCAGAACUGCCUUUGAUACUGA